GACGAACGCUGGCGGCGUGCUUAACACAUGCAAGUCGAACGGAAAGGCCCUGCUUUUGUGGGGUGCUCGAGUGGCGAACGGGUGAGUAACACGUGAGUAACCUGCCCUUGACUUUGGGAUAACUUCAGGAAACUGGGGCUACUACCGGAUAGGAGCUCCUGCUGCAUGGUGGGGGUUGGAAAGUUUCGGCGGGUGGGGAUAGACUCGCGGCUUAUCAGCUUGUUGGUGGGGUAGUGGCUUACCAAGGCUUUGACGGGUAGCCGGCCUGAGAGGGUGACCGGCCACAUUGGGACUGAGAGACGGCCCAGACUCCUACGGGAGGCAGCAGUGGGGAAUAUUGCACAAUGGGCGGAAGCCUGAUGCAGCAACGCCGCGUGCGGGAUGACGGCCUUCGGGUUGUAAACCGCUUUCGCCUGUGACGAAGCGUGAGUGACGGUAAUGGGUAAAGAAGCACCGGCUAACUACGUG
Molecule: ribosomal RNA, 468 nt
Filed under: uncultured bacterium
Lineage: Bacteria
Description: partial 16S ribosomal RNA
Rfam family: Bacterial small subunit ribosomal RNA
Source: RNAcentral